CCGGAAUUAUUGGGCGUAAAGAGCUCGUAGGCGGUUUGUCGCGUCUGCUGUGAAAGCCCGGGGCUUAACCCCGUGGUGUGCAGUGGGUACGGGCAGACUAGAGUGCAGUAGGGGAGACUGGAAUUCCUGGUGUAGCGGUGAAAUGCGCAGAUAUCAGGAGGAACACCGAUGGCGAAGGCAGGUCUCUGGGCUGUUACUGACGCUGAGGAGCGAAAGCAUGGGGAGCGAACAGGAUUAGAUACCCUGGUAGUCCAUGCCGUAAACGUUGGGCACUAGGUGUGGGGGACAUUCCACGUUUUCCGCGCCGUAGCUAACGCAUUAAGUGCCCCGCCUGGGGAGUACGGCCGCAAGGCUAAAACUCAAAGGAAUUGACGGGGGCCCGCACAAGCGGCGGAGCAUGCGGAUUAAUUCGAUGCAACGCGAAGAACCUUACCAAGGCUUGACAUACACCAGACCGGCCCAGAGAUGGGUUUUCCUCUUUGAGGUUGGUGUACAGGUGGUGCAUGGUUGUCGUCAGCUCGUGUCGUGAGAUGUUGGGUUAAGUCCCGCAACGAGCGCAACCCUCGUUCUAUGUUGCCAGCACGUGAUGGUGGGGACUCAUAGGAGACUGCCGGGGUCAACUCGGAGGAAGGUGGGGAUGACGUCAAAUCAUCAUGCCCCUUAUGUCUUGGGCUUCACGCAUGCUACAAUGGCCGGUACAAUGGGUUGCGAUACCGUGAGGUGGAGCUAAUCCCAAAAAGCUGGUCUCAGUUCGGAUCGUGGUCUGCAACUCGACCACGUGAAGUCGGAGUCGCUA
Molecule: ribosomal RNA, 796 nt
Filed under: uncultured bacterium
Lineage: Bacteria
Description: bacterial SSU rRNA
Rfam family: Bacterial small subunit ribosomal RNA
Source: RNAcentral